RNAcentral lists this ribosomal RNA (330 nucleotides) under Chloropicon mariensis. Its description in RNAcentral is "partial Eukaryotic large subunit ribosomal RNA". It matches the Rfam family "Eukaryotic large subunit ribosomal RNA", at positions 654 to 948 of the family's 3401-position model. Lineage: Eukaryota; Viridiplantae; Chlorophyta; Chloropicophyceae; Chloropicales; Chloropicaceae. The record is from RNAcentral.
UUGAAACACGGACCAAGGAGUCUAGCAUGUGCGCGAGUCAUUGGGACAUGACUAAACCUAAAGGCGCAAUGAAAGUGAAAGUCAGCCUUGCGCUGACUCAGGGAGGAUGGGCGGUCGUUACGGCUGCCGCCUCGCACUCCCGGGGCGUCUCGUUCUCAUUGCGAGAUGAGGCGCACCAAGAGCGUACACGCUGGGACCCGAAAGAUGGUGAACUAUGCCUGGCCAGGACGAAGUCAGGGGAAACCCUGAUGGAGGUCCGUAGCGAUUCUGACGUGCAAAUCGAUCGUCGGAGCUGGGUAUAGGGGCGAAAGACUAAUCGAACCAUCUAGU